AAGGCUUGGCAGAUGAGUAAGGAAAAAGAAGACUGAUGGUGGAUUCCCUGAUUAUAGAGAGAAGAGAAAGUUAGGUGGGGAUAUGCAAUGAGGCAAUAAUUUUCUUGGCAGCUGAAUUAUUUUGGAUGAGAAAUAUACAUGACUUAUAUGGUGUCUUUAAGGAGUGAUUUUGGAGUUUAGAAAUUCAGGAUAACAGUGUAUGUAAAUCUGGUAGAUUAAGAGAUAUUAGUCACCAUAUCCACACACACGAGCACUCAGUAGCAGAAAAGUCUGAGUUUAUAAGCUAGUGUGGCCAAAGACUUUGGCAACACUGCACUGGCUAGCAGAUGGGCAGUGUGAGGAGGGCCUGGCAUUCUAGUGUCACAGCUUCAUGCGUGAAGAUGAGUCAGGUUUUCAGUUCCUGGUCUCCUUGGAGUAUGACAGAGCAAUGAAAAGUGAGAAAUGGUUUUACACUAUGAAGCAAUUCUGUACUAUUUGUUUCGAUUUCAUCCACUAUGCAAAUUGUUAAAAAUGCUUAAAAUUUGCUUUUCAGGAGCUGGCCAAUAUUUUGCAGAAGACAAUUUCUUGUUUUACUCUUGGAAAAGAGAUAUACUAGUACUUUAGCAGCCCUUAAAGUUCUUGAUUAUCCUUGCAUCCUUCCGUGGAAAACUUCAUCUUGGCACUGACUGGAUACUGUUUGUUUGAGCUACUUUCCUACCAUCAAUACAACCACAUAGUGGGUUCAGAAUUUUAGAGCAAAUGGGAACUUUAUCUGGCUGAAAUUACCCAAGGAGUGUUAAAAAUAUUCUGAUGGCUUGCUCCCUCCUUCAGAGACUCUGACCAAUUAAAUCUGGGCUGUAAUUCCUUACAGGGACCUGCAAAACAUUAUUUUACUCCCUUUUAGUAAGGAGGAAACCAAGGCUUAGAAGAUUACUUACUUUGUCCCGAAUCACACUCCAGGUAA
Long non-coding RNA from Myotis myotis, 943 nucleotides. RefSeq lists it as uncharacterized. Lineage: Eukaryota; Metazoa; Chordata; Mammalia; Chiroptera; Vespertilionidae. The transcript has 3 exons. The record is from RefSeq and is a predicted model, not a curated record.